AUACGGAGGGUGCAAGCGUUACUCGGAAUCACUGGGCGUAAAGCGCGCGCAGGCGGCUUGGUAAGUUGGAUGUGAAAGCCUACGGCUCAACCGUAGAACUGCAUCCAAAACUGCCAAGCUAGAGUGUGGGAGAGGAAGAUGGAAUUAGUUGUGUAGGGGUAAAAUCCGUAGAGAUAACUCGGAAUACCAAAAGCGAAGGCAAUCUUCUGGAACACUACUGACGCUGAGGCGCGAAAGCGUGGGGAGCAAACAGGAUUAGAAACCCUAGUAGUCC
RNAcentral lists this ribosomal RNA (274 nucleotides) under uncultured bacterium. Its description in RNAcentral is "partial 16S ribosomal RNA". It matches the Rfam family "Bacterial small subunit ribosomal RNA", at positions 523 to 796 of the family's 1533-position model. The record is from RNAcentral.